AACAAGGAUUCCCCUAGUAACGGCGAGUGAAGCGGGAAGAGCUCAAAUUUGAAAUCUGGCAGUCUUCGAUUGUCCGAGUUGUAAUCUAUAGAGGCGUUUUCCGUGCCGGACCGUGUCCAAGUCUCCUGGAAAGGAGUAUCAAAGAGGGUGAUAAUCCCGUACUUAACACGACCACCGGUGCUCUGUGAUACGUCUUCUACGAGUCGAGUUGUUUGGGAAUGCAGCUCAAAAUGGGUGGUGAAUUCCAUCUAAAGCUAAAUAUUGGCGAGAGACCGAUAGCGAACAAGUACCGUGAGGGAAAGAUGAAAAGCACUUUGGAAAGAGAGUUAAACAGUACGUGAAAUUGUUGAAAGGGAAACGAUUGAAGUCAGUCGUGUUCUUUGGAUUCAGCCAGUUCUGCUGGUCUACUUCCUUGGAACGGGUCAACAUCAGUUUUGUCCGGUGGAUAAAGGUAGUAGGAAUGUGACUUCUCCGGAAGUGUUAUAGCCUAUUAUCACAUACACUGGGUGAGACUGAGGACUGCAGCUCGCCUUUAUGGCCGGCCUUCGGGCACGUUCGAGCUUAGGAUGUUGACAUAAUGGCU
Molecule: ribosomal RNA, 583 nt
Filed under: Trichosporon asahii
Lineage: Eukaryota; Fungi; Basidiomycota; Tremellomycetes; Trichosporonales; Trichosporonaceae
Description: partial large subunit ribosomal RNA
Rfam family: Eukaryotic large subunit ribosomal RNA
Source: RNAcentral